UCCGUAGGUGAACCUGCGGAAGGAUCAUUACCGAGUUCAUGCCCUCACGGGUAGACCUCCCACCCUUUGUAUACCUUACCUUUUGUUGCUUUGGCGGGCCGCCUAGCUACUGGCUUCGGCUGGUAAGUGCCCGCCAGAGGACCCCAAACCCAAACCCAUUUAUAGUGUCGUCUGAGCAAAAGUUUAAUAUAUAAAACUUUCAACAACGGAUCUCUUGGCUCUGGCAUCGAUGAAGAACGCAGCGAAAUGCGAUAAGUAAUGUGAAUUGCAGAAUUCAGUGAAUCAUCGAAUCUUUGAACGCACAUUGCGCCCCUUGGUAUUCCGAGGGGCAUGCCUAUUCGAGCGUCAUUAUCACCCCUCAAGCUCCGGCUUGGUGUUGAGGCCUGCUGUAAAGGCACCU
This 400-nucleotide unclassified non-coding RNA is filed under the name Tetracladium sp. KWS2-2. Its description in RNAcentral is "partial contains 18S rRNA, ITS1, 5.8S rRNA, ITS2 and 28S rRNA". The stretch from base 195 to 348 matches the Rfam family "5.8S ribosomal RNA". The record is from RNAcentral. Lineage: Eukaryota; Fungi; Ascomycota; Leotiomycetes; Helotiales.